CAUAGGUUAAUGAGGCGAACCGGGGGAACUGAAACAUCUAAGUACCCCGAGGAAAAGAAAUCAACCGAGAUUCCCCCAGUAGCGGCGAGCGAACGGGGAGCAGCCCAGAGCCUGAAUCAGUGUGUGUGUUAGUGGAAGCGUCUGGAAAGGCGCGCGAUACAGGGUGACAGCCCCGUACACAAAAAUGCACAUGCUGUGAGCUCGAUGAGUAGGGCGGGACACGUGGUAUCCUGUCUGAAUAUGGGGGGACCAUCCUCCAAGGCUAAAUACUCCUGACUGACCGAUAGUGAACCAGUACCGUGAGGGAAAGGCGAAAAGAACCCCGGCGAGGGGAGUGAAAAAGAACCUGAAACCGUGUACGUACAAGCAGUGGGAGCACGCUUAGGCGUGUGACUGCGUACCUUUUGUAUAAUGGGUCAGCGACUUAUAUUCUGUAGCAAGGUUAACCGAAUAGGGGAGCCGAAGGGAAACCGAGUCUUAACUGGGCGUUAAGUUGCAGGGUAUAGACCCGAAACCCGGUGA
Molecule: ribosomal RNA, 522 nt
Filed under: Escherichia coli
Lineage: Bacteria; Pseudomonadati; Pseudomonadota; Gammaproteobacteria; Enterobacterales; Enterobacteriaceae
Description: partial 23S ribosomal RNA
Rfam family: Bacterial large subunit ribosomal RNA
Source: RNAcentral